Molecule: transfer RNA, 69 nt
Filed under: Rattus norvegicus (Norway rat)
Lineage: Eukaryota; Metazoa; Chordata; Mammalia; Rodentia; Muridae
Rfam family: tRNA
About the family: Transfer RNA (tRNA) molecules are approximately 80 nucleotides in length. Their secondary structure includes four short double-helical elements and three loops (D, anti-codon, and T loops).
Source: Rfam by way of RNAcentral
GGGGAUUUAGCUCAGUGGUAGAGCAUUUGCCUUGCAAGCACAAGGCCCUGGGUUCGGUCCCCAGCUCCG